CAGUAGCCGCGGUAAUACGGAGGGUGCAAGCGUUAAUCGGAAUUACUGGGCGUAAAGCGCACGCAGGCGGUCUGACAAGUCAGAUGUGAAAUCCCCGGGCUUAACCUGGGAACUGCAUUUGUGACUGUAUAGCUAGAGUACGGCAGAAGGGGAUGGAAUUCCGCGUGUAGCAGUGAAAUGCGUAGAUAUGCGGAGGAACACCGAUGGCGAAGGCAAUCCCCUGGGCCUGUACUGACGCUCAUGCACGAAAGCGUGGGGAGCAAACAGGAUUAGAUACCCGUGUAGUCCCUGUCUCUUAUAC
Molecule: ribosomal RNA, 301 nt
Filed under: uncultured bacterium
Lineage: Bacteria
Description: partial 16S ribosomal RNA
Rfam family: Bacterial small subunit ribosomal RNA
Source: RNAcentral